CUGUUAUACAACAUGUUCAUACCUCUACAGCAAAAUUGUUCAGUCAUCAAUAACUCGCAAAUGUUGCUGUUGCUUGAAGACAUUCAGAAUAUUCUUUCAUAAGUUCGGUCCUUCAACGGAUUAUGCGUGUGUCGUAGUCUACUCAUACACAGGAUGAAUACUCACUCGCGAUCGGUCCCUUCAAUGAAGAAAACGAGGAUUUGAACUUGUCAAAUCGUUACUGACUGUGUCACAGUACAUUCCUACUACUGCAAAUCAUUUUGUUUGACUGUUUCAUGCACAGAAUGUUCAUACUUCCACUGCAAAGAGUUGAUUGGUGUAUGGAACAUGUGAGAAAUCCCUUUGACGUACACUAACACAUAAAAGACCACUAUUAAGCAAACGUUGACGGAGAGAUUUUUAAUGAUGCAUUUGGUAAGUUUAUUUUAUUUUAAUUAAUAAAUUCUACAUUGUCACUGCUGUCACACUAUGCAA
Molecule: long non-coding RNA, 474 nt
Filed under: Dendronephthya gigantea
Lineage: Eukaryota; Metazoa; Cnidaria; Anthozoa; Malacalcyonacea; Nephtheidae
Description: uncharacterized LOC114535401, transcript variant X1
Source: RNAcentral